This is a non-coding RNA of Trichonephila inaurata madagascariensis, 966 nucleotides long. The record is from the annotation of a GenBank genome assembly. Lineage: Eukaryota; Metazoa; Arthropoda; Arachnida; Araneae; Nephilidae.
ACCUGGUUGAUCCUGCCAGUAGCAUAUGCUUGUCUCAAAGAUUAAGCCAUGCACGUCUCAGUACAUGCCGCGAAAGUAUAAGGCGAAACCGCAAAUGGCUCAUUAAAUCAGUCACGGUUCAUUGGAUCGUGACGCGUUACUUGGAUAACUGUGGCAAUUCUAGAGCUAAUACAUGCAGCCGAGCUCCGACCGCCCUCCGGGUGCGAGACGAGCGCUUUUAUUAGAUUCUUCCCAGGCCAGCGAUGGCCGAGGACGUGAGCGAAGCUGAGUAACUUGGCCGAUCGCACGGGCUCGACCCGGCGACGCAUCCUUCAAGUGUCUGCCUUAUCAACUGUCGACGGUAGGUGAUGCGCCUACCGUGGUCGCCACGGGUGACGGGGAAUCAGGGUUCGAUUCCGGAGAGGGAGCCUGAGAAACGGCUACCACAUCUAAGGAAGGCAGCAGGCACGCAAAUUACCCAAUCCCGGCUCGGGGAGGUAGUGACGAAAAAUAACGACGCUGGACUCUACGAGACCCAGUCGUCGGAAUGAGUACGCUCUAAACCCUCUAACGAGGACCUACUGGAGGGCAAGACUAAUGCCAGCCGCUGCGGUAAUUUUAGCUCCAGUGGCGUAUACUAAAAUUGUUGCAGUUAAAAAGCUCGUAGUUGGAUGUCUGCUCUGGACGUAGGGGGCCGCUCGCGCGGUCCGCCAUGCGCACCCGGCAUUCUGCUCGCCACUCGGGGGUCGGUUUUCACCGGUCGGCCCUCGGUGGUCGGCGGUUAUCGCUUUGCAAAAAUUAGAGUGCUUCAAGCGGGCUCACCCAGGCUCGAAUAGUAAUGCACGGUACGAUGGAACAUGACUUCGGAUCUAGGUCCUCGGGGACAGACGGAGACCGAGGUGAUGAUUAAUAGGAGCAGACGGGGGCAUUCGUAUUCCGACGCUAGAGGUGAAAUUCUUGGACCGUCGGAAGACGGCCACUGCGAAA